AUUGAACGCUGGCGGCAUGCUUUACACAUGCAAGUCGAACGGUAACAGGCCGCAAGGUGCUGACGAGUGGCGAACGGGUGAGUAAUGCAUCGGAACGUGCCCAGUCGUGGGGGAUAACGCAGCGAAAGCUGUGCUAAUACCGCAUACGAUCUAUGGAUGAAAGCGGGGGACCGUAAGGCCUCGCGCGAUUGGAGCGGCCGAUGUCAGAUUAGGUAGUUGGUGGGGUAAAGGCUCACCAAGCCAACGAUCUGUAGCUGGUCUGAGAGGACGACCAGCCACACUGGGACUGAGACACGGCCCAGACUCCUACGGGAGGCAGCAGUGGGGAAUUUGGGACAAUGGGCGCAAGCCUGAUCCAGCAAUGCCGCGUGCAGGAAGAAGGCCUUCGGGUUGUAAACUGCUUUUGUACGGAACGAAACGGUCUGGGUUAAUACCCUGGGCUAAUGACGGUACCGUAAGAAUAAGCACCGGCUAACUACGUGCCAGCAGCCGCCGUAA
RNAcentral lists this ribosomal RNA (498 nucleotides) under uncultured bacterium. RNAcentral's name for it is "partial 16S ribosomal RNA". It matches the Rfam family "Bacterial small subunit ribosomal RNA", at positions 30 to 523 of the family's 1533-position model. The record is from RNAcentral.